This 253-nucleotide ribosomal RNA is filed under the name uncultured bacterium. RNAcentral's name for it is "partial 16S ribosomal RNA". It matches the Rfam family "Bacterial small subunit ribosomal RNA", at positions 524 to 776 of the family's 1533-position model. The record is from RNAcentral.
UACGUAGGGUGCAAGCGUUAAUCGGAAUUACUGGGCGUAAAGCGUGUGCAGGCGGUUAUGUAAGACAGAUGUGAAAUGCCCGGGCUUAACCUGGGAACUGCAUUUGUGACUGCAUGGCUAGAGUUUGGCAGAGGGGGGUAGAAUUCCACGUGUAGCAGUGAAAUGCGUAGAUAUGUGGAGGAACACCGAUGGCGAAGGCAGCCCCCUGGGUCAAGACUGACGCUCAUGCACGAAAGCGUGGGGAGCAAACAGG